Molecule: ribosomal RNA, 157 nt
Filed under: Garcinia macrophylla
Lineage: Eukaryota; Viridiplantae; Streptophyta; Magnoliopsida; Malpighiales; Clusiaceae
Description: 5.8S ribosomal RNA
Rfam family: 5.8S ribosomal RNA
About the family: 5.8S ribosomal RNA (5.8S rRNA) is a component of the large subunit of the eukaryotic ribosome. It is transcribed by RNA polymerase I as part of the 45S precursor that also contains 18S and 28S rRNA.
Source: RNAcentral
UAGAACGACUCUCGGCAACGGAUAUCUCGGCUCUCGCAUCGAUGAAGAACGUAGCGAAAUGCGAUACGUGGUGUGAAUUGCAGAAUCCCGUGAACCAUCGAGUCUUUGAACGCAAGUUGCGCCCGAAGCCUUCAGGUUGAGGGCACGUCUGCCUGGG